This is a long non-coding RNA of Saccostrea echinata, 679 nucleotides long. RefSeq lists it as uncharacterized. NCBI's taxonomy places the organism in Eukaryota, Metazoa, Mollusca, Bivalvia, Ostreida, Ostreidae. The transcript has 6 exons. The record is from RefSeq and is a predicted model, not a curated record.
CUAGUGAUGUGAUUGGUCCCAUAACUCCCAAGCCCAAAUACACCAAGGUUUUGCCACCUGGUGUACCAGAGGCUGUCAACAAUUCUAUAACUUAUCUGAAAUGGGAACCACCUAAACAUAAUGGUGGCUGUAAAAUUACAGACUACCUUGUAGAAGAGAGGUUUAAGGGAACAGAGAAAUGAGUACCCCUGCACUGACCCCUCUUUACUGUCACCGAUCUUCCUCAGGACUCAGAGUGGGAGUUUAGAGUUACAGCUGAUAACUUUGCUGGAAACUGUGAGCCCAGUCUGUGCUCACCAGCAUACAAAAUCCAGGAGAAGAUUGAGUCUUUUGCAAUUGAGCAGGAUGAGGAAUCACACCAAUCAUUUGUAAAUGAAAGCAGCAGUCAUGAUGUUGUCAAUGAGAAUGAAUUUUAAAUAGGACAUGAUACAGGGCCACUUUUAAGUGAUGAAGCAGACGAGUAUGAUGAUGGUAAUGAUGAUGAAUCAUACCAUCCUUCAAGCGAUGAAAAAGCUGUGAUGAAGAUACCAUUAAUGAUCUUGAUAUGCCCAGUAAGCCUCUCAAAUCUGAAAUGCAGCAGAAACAAGCUGCACUUGCAAGUGACAGCGAAAAGGACAGUGAAUGUGAAGAUGAUCAUGAUGAUGUCGGCAAAGUUUUACCACAGUCAGAGAAGCGAAAG